UCGAAGGUAGCAUAAUCAGUAGUUUUUUAAUUGAAAACUUGUAUGAAUGGUUUAAUGAGAUAUUUUCUGUCUCAUAAAAAUUUUUUAAAAAUUAAUUUUUUAGUUAAAAAGCUAAAAUAAAAUUAAAAGACGAGAAGACCCUAUAGAGUUUUAUAUUAAUAAUUUAAUAAUUUAUUUAUAUUAUUUAAAAUUUUUAAUUUAUUAAUAUUUUGUUGGGGUGACAGUAAAAUUUUAAUAUCUUUUAUUAUUUUUAAACAAUUAUUAUUGGUUAAUUGAUCCAUUUUUAGUGAUUAUAAGAUUAAAUUACCUUAGGGAUAACAGCGUAAUUUUUUUGUAGAGUUCUUAUCGAUAAAAAUUUUUGC
RNAcentral lists this ribosomal RNA (362 nucleotides) under Mycomya trilineata. RNAcentral's name for it is "partial 16S ribosomal RNA". The record is from RNAcentral. Lineage: Eukaryota; Metazoa; Arthropoda; Insecta; Diptera; Mycetophilidae.